GACGAACGCUGCGGCGUGCCUAAUACAUGCCAGUCGAGCGGACCGAACAGGAGCUUGCUCUUGUUCGGUUAGCGGCGGACGGGUGAGUAACACGUGGGUAACCUGCCCGUAAGACCGGGAUAACUCCGGGAAACCGGAGCUAAUACCGGAUAACACCGAAGACCGCAUGGUCUUUGGUUGAAAGGCGGCUUCGGCUGCCACUUACGGAUGGGCCCGCGGCGCAUUAGCUAGUUGGUGAGGUAACGGCUCACCAAGGCGACGAUGCGUAGCCGGCCUGAGAGGGUGACCGGCCACACUGGGACUGAGACACGGCCCAGACUCCUACGGGAGGCAGCAGUAGGGAAUCUUCCGCAAUGGACGAAAGUCUGACGGAGCGACGCCGCGUGAGCGAAGAAGGUCUUCGGAUCGUAAAGCUCUGUUGUUAGGGAAGAAGAAGCGUCGUUCGAACAGGGCGGCGCGGUGACGGUACCUAACGAGAAAGCCCCGGCUAACUACGUG
RNAcentral lists this ribosomal RNA (498 nucleotides) under uncultured bacterium. Its description in RNAcentral is "partial 16S ribosomal RNA". It matches the Rfam family "Bacterial small subunit ribosomal RNA", at positions 28 to 507 of the family's 1533-position model. The record is from RNAcentral.